UUAGGGUGCCGUCUUUCUUACAAGUCUAUACUAUUUCAUCUGUCUUUUCCGUGUCGUGAUGUCUAAGGCUUUAUUGAAGUGUUGUUCUGUAAUUAGUUUUGAGCUAAGUGGUUAAUGAUGAUAAAUCCAAAGGCUUGUUUCUCAAACAUUCGCAGUGGCCGCCUAAGAGCUUUCGCCUUUCGCCAGGCUUGAGAUUGUGCAGGUUCCUCCGUAUGGUCGCCUCUGUGGCUUGCAAUAUCUCGUGCAAGGAUUAAUAGGCUUAAUUGUUAUUGUAUCAUAAUGUAAAAAUAAAAUUUCUGUUUCUUGUAAUAUCCUACCCGUUGUAUCUAAAAUUUUAAUUAAAACAAUUUUUUGUUCUCUGUAGUUGACAAUAUUUCUUUUAUAAGAUCCAUAACGUUGUAUUAUGAAAUCAACAUGAUCGGCAAUUUUUCUU
Molecule: long non-coding RNA, 433 nt
Organism: Raphanus sativus (radish)
Lineage: Eukaryota; Viridiplantae; Streptophyta; Magnoliopsida; Brassicales; Brassicaceae
Exons: 2
Source: RefSeq, a predicted model, not a curated record